CUUUCGCUAUAGUCCGAUAAACAAUUUCACGGUUUUCGUGUCCGCCGACCUUUGCCUCCGAUGUGUAUGCAAAUUUUCUUUGCAUUCUUUGUCCCACAGAAUGGAAAGUAACGGAUCAGUUUGUUUUCAAGAUUUUUGUUUCUCAUUCCACGUGCUCGGGGAACGACGAAGAGGCAAUUCUUUUAUCUCGGUUAAUUUUUAAGAAAGAACUUUGGAACGUGCGAGAUUGAGGAUUAGAACGGUCGAAAUCUCGACACUGUUUGAAAUUCUUCAAGAAACUUUUUCCCCUAUUUCUUGGUUUGGAAAAGAAAAGACGAACAAAAAAAGAUGAUUGUUGAAGAUCUUUUUUUUACAACAUCGGGAUAUCAAUAGAAACCUGGAUUUUAUCUUCUAAUUAAUUAUUUAAACUUAUUAUUAGUAAUGGAAUAUUUGUAAAAUAUAUG
Molecule: long non-coding RNA, 443 nt
Organism: Apis mellifera (honey bee)
Lineage: Eukaryota; Metazoa; Arthropoda; Insecta; Hymenoptera; Apidae
Exons: 2
Source: RefSeq, a predicted model, not a curated record